UAGUGGCGAACGGGUGAGUAACACGUGGGCAAUCUGCCCUUCACUCUGGGACANGCCCUGGAAACGGGGUCUAAUACCGGAANAACACUCUGUCCCGCAUGGGACGGGGUUGAAAGCUCCGGCGGUGAAGGAUGAGCCCGCGGCCUAUCAGCUUGUUGGUGGGGUGAUGGCCUACCAAGGCGACGACGGGUAGCCGGCCUGAGAGGGCGACCGGCCACACUGGGACUGAGACACGGCCCAGACUCCUACGGGAGGCAGCAGUGGGGAAUAUUGCACAAUGGGCGAAAGCCUGAUGCAGCGACGCCGCGUGAGGGAUGACGGCCUUCGGGUUGUAAACCUCUUUCAGCAGGGAAGAAGCGAAAGUGACGGUACCUGCAGAAGAAGCGCCGGCUAACUACGUGCCAGCAGCCGCGGUAAUACGUAGGGCGCAAGCGUUGUCCGGAAUUAUUGGGCGUAAAGAGCUCGUAGGCGGCUUGUUGCGUCGGUUGUGAAAGCCCGGGGCUUAACCCCGGGUCUGCAGUCGAUACGGGCAGGCUAGAGUGUGGUAGGGGAGAUCGGAAUUCCU
Molecule: ribosomal RNA, 565 nt
Filed under: Streptomyces sp. 340F02
Lineage: Bacteria; Bacillati; Actinomycetota; Actinomycetes; Kitasatosporales; Streptomycetaceae
Description: bacterial SSU rRNA
Rfam family: Bacterial small subunit ribosomal RNA
Source: RNAcentral